UCCAUGAAGGGCUGAGCAACAAAACCUUAGGCUUACCCCAGGCGAGCAUUCAAAAGCAUUUAAGAGAAGCACAGAAAACAAAAGAAACAAACACAACCUGUCCUUACCCGCUUCUUAAAAAAUUGAAAGGCUGAGCAUUUCUUGACUGGGAAUCCAUUCAUGUCUUUGUUUACCAUUUUCCACAGUGAGGAGUUCACAGUUAUAGAUCCAGGGUGGCACCCGCUUGGUUAGGGCAUCUGUUUCCGCGGUUGGUUUCCCUCCUGCAAACAGUGAAUGAAAAAGGAGCGGGAUGGAGAAUCUAGCGGGGCUCAGUUCUUCACUCGCACAUUCUGCAGCACCAGCUACUGCAGCAACCUCUCCCCACUUUCAUUUGCCACCAGCCGUGGCUUUUCUCUUUCCAUCAUUGCUCCGAAACAUAAGCAUCACCGCUGCAGGACUCCGGGGGACGGACGGCGGGAUACGACAAGUCUCCAGGGAGAUGCUCUUGCAGCCACCGGGCGGGAGGUGGGUACCCACCCCGCCCUCAGCUACCUCGCAGUUCCGGGGCCGGCGCUGGAGCGAGUUGCUGCUCCAGGUGAUGUGCUUCUGGAGGCUGCUGGAGAGGAGAACUGUUUUUGAUUGUAUACAUGCGACUGCAUGGGCAUGAGACAUGAAAGUAAUGGAAAUAAUCCCUGUCAUGUCAAGGUGAAUGGCCUGUAGUAAGUAGUACAAUUACUAUUAUUUAUUUUUAAACUAAAAUUAUUGCCCUUAAUUCAGUUUUUU
RNAcentral lists this long non-coding RNA (762 nucleotides) under Ictidomys tridecemlineatus (thirteen-lined ground squirrel). RNAcentral describes it as "lncRNA (ENSSTOG00000029518.1)". Lineage: Eukaryota; Metazoa; Chordata; Mammalia; Rodentia; Sciuridae. The record is from RNAcentral.